UGCCCCACCUGCUGACCACCCUC
This 23-nucleotide microRNA is filed under the name Homo sapiens (human). Its description in RNAcentral is "hsa-miR-4758-3p". The record is from miRBase by way of RNAcentral. Lineage: Eukaryota; Metazoa; Chordata; Mammalia; Primates; Hominidae.